GGGUGAUACCAUAGGGAUCUAUUAUAUUUAUAGAUUGAAAUAUGACUAAAAUUAGGAGGGCUUUGGAAAAAUCUUGUUAUGAUGUGGCUUAAAUUUUGGGUAUAUUUUCACAAAAUAUUUGUGAGCUAUGCAGCAUUAGUAGAGGACAUGGGUAUGAAUCAAUAUAAACAUUAUAAAAUUUGCCUAUUUCAAUAUAUCAUGAGAGUUUGGGUAAAUCUACUGGGCUAGAGUUCAGAGAGUUCUAAGAUAUUAUAACUUAUUUUUUUAAUCGUAGUGAAAUUUUUUCUCUCGUGUCUUGUUGAACUUUAUAAUUUAAUCACGUAAAUCUUGUUUCUUCAUUCUUUUUUCUUUAUGCUGUGUUUGUGUGAUUAUUUGUAUACCUUAAAUUAAUCUGCUUGUUAUAACAAACCUCUUACCAAUGCAAAUCCGAUGCAUAACAU
Molecule: unclassified non-coding RNA, 440 nt
Filed under: Hevea brasiliensis (rubber tree)
Lineage: Eukaryota; Viridiplantae; Streptophyta; Magnoliopsida; Malpighiales; Euphorbiaceae
Source: RNAcentral